GACACUUUGGCCGAGUGGUUAAGGCGAUGCCCUGCUACUGGAAACCCCUAGAUAAGGCAUUACAUUCGUGUGCGCAGGUUCGAAUCCUGCAGGUGUCG
Molecule: transfer RNA, 98 nt
Filed under: Claviceps sp. LM84 group G4
Lineage: Eukaryota; Fungi; Ascomycota; Sordariomycetes; Hypocreales; Clavicipitaceae
Also listed under: 1 other name
Description: tRNA-Ser
Rfam family: tRNA
About the family: Transfer RNA (tRNA) molecules are approximately 80 nucleotides in length. Their secondary structure includes four short double-helical elements and three loops (D, anti-codon, and T loops).
Source: RNAcentral